RNAcentral lists this ribosomal RNA (478 nucleotides) under uncultured bacterium. Its description in RNAcentral is "partial 16S ribosomal RNA". It matches the Rfam family "Bacterial small subunit ribosomal RNA", at positions 28 to 523 of the family's 1533-position model. The record is from RNAcentral.
GACGAACGCUGGCGGCGCGCCUAAAACAUGCAAGUCGAACGAGAAACCCGGGCUUGCCCGGGUGGACAGUGGCGAACGGGUGAGUAACACGUGAGGAACCUGCCCCGAAGACCGGGAUAACACCGGGAAACCGGUGCUAAUACCGGAUGCCUUCACCGGAUCGCAUGGUCUGGUGAAGAAAUGGAUUCCGCUUCGGGAUGGCCUCGCGUCCUAUCAGCUUGUUGGUGAGGUAACGGCUCACCAAGGCGACGACGGGUAGCUGGUCUGAGAGGAUGUCCAGCCACACUGGGACUGAGACACGGCCCAGACUCCUACGGGAGGCAGCAGUUAGGAAUCUUGCGCAAUGGACGAAAGUCUGACGCAGCGACGCCGCGUGCGGGAUGAAGGCCUUCGGGUUGUAAACCGCUUUCAGCAGGGACGAAAUUGACGGUACCUGCAGAAGAAGCCCCGGCCAACUACGUGCCAGCAGCCGCCGUAA